RNAcentral lists this ribosomal RNA (253 nucleotides) under uncultured bacterium. Its description in RNAcentral is "partial 16S ribosomal RNA". It matches the Rfam family "Bacterial small subunit ribosomal RNA", at positions 524 to 776 of the family's 1533-position model. The record is from RNAcentral.
UACGAAGGGGGCUAGCGUUGUUCGGAAUCACUGGGCGUAAAGCGCGCGUAGGCGGAUUAGCAAGUCAGAGGUGAAAGCCCAGGGCUCAACCUUGGAACUGCCUUUGAAACUGCUAAUCUAGAAUCUCGGAGGGGGUAGCGGAAUUCCAAAUGUAGGGGUGAAAUCCGUAGAUAUUUGGAGGAACACCGGUGGCGAAGGCGGCUACCUGGACGAGUAUUGACGCUGAGGUGCGAAAGCGUGGGGAGCAAACAGG